RNAcentral lists this unclassified non-coding RNA (602 nucleotides) under Hevea brasiliensis (rubber tree). Lineage: Eukaryota; Viridiplantae; Streptophyta; Magnoliopsida; Malpighiales; Euphorbiaceae. The record is from RNAcentral.
GUCAAAGCAAUUCAAUUGUAAAGUUUUGGGGUCCAAGCACUGUAAGGGUGGGGCACUUUAUCUCUAUGUUUAAGAUUUUUACCCUUUGUCUCACUUGUGAGUAUAUGUCUUCCACAUGACUAGGAGUUGCUUGUGAACAUACUUCAGUUGUUGCAAUUGUUGGGAAGGGACAUUUGCAGGGAAUUAAGAAGCAUUGGAAGCAACCUAUUUUGUUUGGUGAACAAUUUCAUUUUGUUUGUUCUGUUUAUUUAUUUAAACAAUAGAUUCUUUGAAUUUUGUUGAUGAUCAGUUGACCAAGAAUUAUUUAUAGGAACUAUGGCUAAUGGAGAAUUUUCAUAUACACCGUCAUCUAGAGUUUUACCUAAUGAAACUCAAGAGACGCCACCAUUGAGUACCUUAAAUCAUGUUGAGGAGAAUAACAAUGCAUAAUCUAAUUUUGAUGUUGAUUUAGAUGAAAUGGUGAAUGCGGGUUUUCAUUAGGAGAUUCAUUCAAUCAAGUAGUAGGUGGAGAUGUGGCUUUGGAAAAUACAGAAAAUGGUAGUAGUCACUAUAAUAUGAUAAAACAAAAGAGGAAAGAAUUGUCUAAUGACCUUGCAACAAAG